GAUCAUCCUCUAAAGAGAUCUCUGAGAAACGAACCAGGAAGAAGAGGGUGAUGAAGAAAUUGGGAUUAGGGUCGUCAAAAAGACGCAAGACGAGUAAAUCUGGAGCUUCAAAGCCAACAUCUGAGGCACAAUCGACUGAUGAGUUGAGCCCUCCAAUCCUUGCUCAGAAUGUCUCUGUCUCAGGCCGUCUUCGAUCCAGGAAAACAUCUGAG
This 212-nucleotide long non-coding RNA is filed under the name Brassica rapa (field mustard). RNAcentral describes it as "long non-coding RNA (BRAP_LNC007661)". Lineage: Eukaryota; Viridiplantae; Streptophyta; Magnoliopsida; Brassicales; Brassicaceae. The record is from RNAcentral.